GAUGAACGCUGGCGGCGUGCCUAAUACAUGCAAGUCGAGCGAACAGACGAGGAGCUUGCUCCUCUGACGUUAGCGGCGGACGGGUGAGUAACACGUGGAUAACCUACCUAUAAGACUGGGAUAACUUCGGGAAACCGGAGCUAAUACCGGAUAAUAUAUUGAACCGCAUGGUUCAAUAGUGAAAGACGGUUUUGCUGUCACUUAUAGAUGGAUCCGCGCCGCAUUAGCUAGUUGGUAAGGUAACGGCUUACCAAGGCAACGAUGCGUAGCCGACCUGAGAGGGUGAUCAGCCACACUGGAACUGAGACACGGUCCAGACUCCUACGGGAGGCAGCAGUAGGGAAUCUUCCACAAUGGGCGAAAGCCUGACGGAGCAACGCCGCGUGAGUGAUGAAGGUCUUCGGAUCGUAAAACUCUGUUAUUAGGGAAGAACAAAUGUGUAAGUAACUAUGCACGUCUUGACGGUACCUAAUCAGAAAGCCACGGCUAACUACGUG
RNAcentral lists this ribosomal RNA (497 nucleotides) under uncultured bacterium. RNAcentral describes it as "partial 16S ribosomal RNA". It matches the Rfam family "Bacterial small subunit ribosomal RNA", at positions 28 to 507 of the family's 1533-position model. The record is from RNAcentral.